This 484-nucleotide ribosomal RNA is filed under the name uncultured bacterium. RNAcentral describes it as "partial 16S ribosomal RNA". It matches the Rfam family "Bacterial small subunit ribosomal RNA", at positions 30 to 507 of the family's 1533-position model. The record is from RNAcentral.
AUUGAACGCUGGCGGCAGGCCUAACACAUGCAAGUCGAGCGGUAGAGAGAAGCUUGCUUCUCUUGAGAGCGGCGGACGGGUGAGUAAUGCCUAGGAAUCUGCCUGGUAGUGGGGGAUAACGUUCGGAAACGGACGCUAAUACCGCAUACGUCCUACGGGAGAAAGCAGGGGACCUUCGGGCCUUGCGCUAUCAGAUGAGCCUAGGUCGGAUUAGCUAGUUGGUGGGGUAAUGGCUCACCAAGGCGACGAUCCGUAACUGGUCUGAGAGGAUGAUCAGUCACACUGGAACUGAGACGCGGUCCAGACUCCUACGGGAGGCAGCAGUGGGGAAUAUUGGACAAUGGGCGAAAGCCUGAUCCAGCCAUGCCGCGUGUGUGAAGAAGGUCUUCGGAUUGUAAAGCACUUUAAGUUGGGAGGAAGGGCAGUAAAUUAAUACUUUGCUGUUUUGACGUUACCGACAGAAUAAGCACCGGCUAACUCUGUG